This 378-nucleotide RNase P RNA is filed under the name candidate division Zixibacteria bacterium RBG-1. Its description in RNAcentral is "Bacterial RNase P class A". It matches the Rfam family "Bacterial RNase P class A". Rfam says of the family: Ribonuclease P (RNase P) is a ubiquitous endoribonuclease, found in archaea, bacteria and eukarya as well as chloroplasts and mitochondria. Its best characterised activity is the generation of mature 5'-ends of tRNAs by cleaving the 5'-leader elements of precursor-tRNAs. RNAcentral also lists the same sequence under 1 other name. The record is from Rfam by way of RNAcentral. Lineage: Bacteria; Pseudomonadati; Candidatus Zixiibacteriota.
AAAGUAAACCAGGUGGUCGCCCCGAUUAAAAUCGGGGAGGAAAGUCCGAGCUCCCCCAGGGACAGUGCCCCGUAACGCGGGGGACCUGUGAAGGUACGGAAAGUGCCACAGAAACUAAACCGGCCGGUUGUCAACUGAAAAGUCGGCAGCCGACCAAGGGUGAAACGGUGGUGUAAGAGACCACCCGGCUUUGAGGAAACUUAAAGUUGGGAAAACCCCACUGGGAGCAAGACCGCAUAAGGAAGGAGAAAACCUGGUUCGCUUGUACUUCCGGGUAGGUCGCUAGGACCUCUUUAGCAAUAAAGGGGCUAGAUUAAUGGUCACCAGCAAGCUAAGACAGCUUGUCUCACAGAACUCGGCUUAUGGUUUACUCUGGCU